UCCUGAAUUCGAACGGGAGGGCUCACAAGCAAGUGUUCUCCUACGGGAUUCAGCCGCUCGGCAGUAUCCCCUCUCCCCGCCAGACGUGGCCGGACGACCGCUCGCGAAGACGACGUCUCGCGGUGCGGAGCCGAUCCCGGCUGCCGCUCGGUGGUGUGACGAUGGGGCUGUUAACCGGCGGCGCAAUUCCCCCCCUAGUAGAAGCGUCGCGACCCGUUGGGUUCGGCUGGCCGCAGGGGCCGGGGAGGCAGCCCGCUUCGUGGUACCCGACCAGUUCGGUGCCCGGGCGGACCCCCGGAUGACCCGGUUGCCGCCCGACGGUAGCACGGAGGAGGCGGUCCGCAAAACGGAUGCGUCCGGCAAGGUGACCGAAGGUGCCUGCCUCGGACUGGACCAUGGCUUCCGGUCGCGCGACGCACCGACCUUCGGACGGUCUC
RNAcentral lists this ribosomal RNA (437 nucleotides) under Hirtuleius gracilis. Its description in RNAcentral is "partial 28S ribosomal RNA". Lineage: Eukaryota; Metazoa; Arthropoda; Insecta; Phasmatodea; Phasmatidae. The record is from RNAcentral.